Molecule: ribosomal RNA, 132 nt
Filed under: uncultured bacterium
Lineage: Bacteria
Description: partial 16S ribosomal RNA
Rfam family: Bacterial small subunit ribosomal RNA
Source: RNAcentral
UCGUACGGGCAGUGAAAACUACGAGACUAGAGUUUGGUAGGGGUCACGGGAAUUUCCAGUGUAGCGGUGAAAUGCGUAGAGAUUGGGAAGAACACCAGCGGCGAAAGCGCGUGACUGGGCCUGAACUGACAC